Molecule: ribosomal RNA, 21 nt
Filed under: Rhizopus microsporus var. microsporus
Lineage: Eukaryota; Fungi; Mucoromycota; Mucoromycetes; Mucorales; Rhizopodaceae
Also listed under: 1 other name
Description: partial 28S ribosomal RNA
Source: RNAcentral
UGAAGUCAAGUGGGACUACCC